UACGUAGGGGGCAAGCGUUGUCCGGAAUGAUCGGGCGUAAAGGGCGCGUAGGCGGCCCGGUAAGUCUUAAGUGAAAGUCCUGGUUUUAAGCUGGGAAUUGCUUUGGAUACUGUCGGGCUUGAGUGAAGGAGAGGUAAGUGGAAUUCCCAGUGUAGCGGUGAAGUGCGUAGAGAUUGGGAGGAACACCAGUGGCGAAGGCGACUUACUGGACUGUAACUGACGCUGAGGCGCGAAAGUGUGGGGAGCAAAC
Molecule: ribosomal RNA, 250 nt
Filed under: uncultured prokaryote
Description: partial 16S ribosomal RNA
Rfam family: Bacterial small subunit ribosomal RNA
Source: RNAcentral